UCCCUGGUGGUCCAGUGGCUGAGACUUUGUGCUCCCGAUGCAUGGGGCCUGGGUUCAAUUCCUGGUCAGGGGA
Molecule: transfer RNA, 73 nt
Filed under: Bos taurus (domestic cattle)
Lineage: Eukaryota; Metazoa; Chordata; Mammalia; Artiodactyla; Bovidae
Also listed under: 1 other name
Rfam family: tRNA
About the family: Transfer RNA (tRNA) molecules are approximately 80 nucleotides in length. Their secondary structure includes four short double-helical elements and three loops (D, anti-codon, and T loops).
Source: Rfam by way of RNAcentral